RNAcentral lists this ribosomal RNA (459 nucleotides) under uncultured bacterium. RNAcentral describes it as "partial 16S ribosomal RNA". It matches the Rfam family "Bacterial small subunit ribosomal RNA", at positions 338 to 795 of the family's 1533-position model. The record is from RNAcentral.
CCUACGGGAGGCAGCAGUGAGGAAUAUUGGUCAAUGGUCGGGAGACUGAACCAGCCAAGCCGCGUGAGGGAUGAAGGUACAGAGUAUCGUAAACCUCUUUUGUCAGGGCACAAAGGCGGGGACGUGUCCCCGGAUGAGUGUACCUGAAGAAAAAGCAUCGGCUAACUCCGUGCCAGCAGCCGCGGUAAUACGGAGGAUGCGAGCGUUAUCCGGAUUUAUUGGGUUUAAAGGGUGCGCAGGCGGUCUGUUAAGUCAGCGGUAAAAGCCCGGGGAUCAACCCCGGCCCGCCGUUGAAACUGGCAGUCUCGAGUUGGAGAGAAGUAUGCGGAAUGCGCGGUGUAGCGGUGAAAUGCAUAGAUAUCGCGCAGAACUCCGAUUGCGAAGGCAGCAUGCCGGCUCCACACUGACGCUGAGGCACGAAAGCGUGGGUAUCGAACAGGAUUAGAUACCCUUGUAGUC